RNAcentral lists this transfer RNA (69 nucleotides) under Urocitellus parryii (Arctic ground squirrel). RNAcentral's name for it is "Spermophilus parryii (Arctic ground squirrel) tRNA". It matches the Rfam family "tRNA". Rfam says of the family: Transfer RNA (tRNA) molecules are approximately 80 nucleotides in length. Their secondary structure includes four short double-helical elements and three loops (D, anti-codon, and T loops). RNAcentral also lists the same sequence under 1 other name. The record is from Rfam by way of RNAcentral. Lineage: Eukaryota; Metazoa; Chordata; Mammalia; Rodentia; Sciuridae.
GGGGCUGGGGCUCAGUGGUAGAGCACUCAUCUUGCAAGUGUGAGGCCCUGGGUUUGAUCCUCAGCACCA